GAGUAAGGGCGUGUGGUGGAUGCCUUGACUGAAGAAGGCGAUGAAGGACGCGGCUUAGCUGCGAUACGCUUCGGGGAGCUGCCAAGCAAGCUUUGAUCCGGAGAUUUCCGAAUGGGGAAACCCUGUCGAGUACACCUCGACAACUCUCUAGUUAAACGCCAGAGAGAGCAGACCGUGGGAAGUGAAACAUCUCAGUACCACGAGGAAAAGAGACCAAUAGGUAUUCCCUUAGUAGCGGCGAGCGAAACGGGAAAAGCACAAACUCAGCCACAAUAUCAACGCGCGAUCUUUUUCGCGAUUUGAUAUUGGGGAUGGGGGUUAUAAGGCUACAGCGCUGGCAACAGGUAGAGUCACAAAUUGCUUAGUUAGUGGAACGAGCUGGGAAGCUCGACUCCAAAGGGUAAUAGUCCCGUACACGAAAACAAAGCAACUCUAUGGCUGUAGUUCUUGAGUAGCUCGAGACAUGAAUAGCUCGGGUGAAUUCGUCAGUACUAACUGAUAAUGCUACAUACUUCUUCAGAUCGAUAGUGAACAAGUACCGUGAGGGAAAGGUGAAAAGAACCCCGGUGAGGGGAGUGAAAUAGAACUGAAACCACAU
Molecule: ribosomal RNA, 598 nt
Filed under: Candidatus Kaiserbacteria bacterium GW2011_GWC2_52_8b
Lineage: Bacteria; Candidatus Kaiseribacteriota
Description: bacterial LSU rRNA
Rfam family: Bacterial large subunit ribosomal RNA
Source: RNAcentral